UGAGGAAUAUUGGUCAAUGGGCGCAAGCCUGAACCAGCCAUCCCGCGUGCAGGAAGACGGCCCUAUGGGUUGUAAACUGCUUUUCCAGGGGGAGAAACUUGCGCACGUGUUGCGCAAUUGACGGUACCCUGGGAAUAAGCAUCGGCUAACUCCGUGCCAGCAGCCGCGGUAAUACGGAGGAUGCGAGCGUUAUCCGGAUUCAUUGGGUUUAAAGGGUGCGUAGGCGGACUAUUAAGUCAGUGGUGAAAUCCUGCAGCUUAACUGCAGAACUGCCAUUGAUACUGAUAGCCUUGAGUUUGGUUAAGGUAGGCGGAAUGUGUAAUGUAGCGGUGAAAUGCUUAGAUAUUACACAGAACACCAAUUGCGUAGGCAGCUUACUGAGCCGACACUGACGCUGAGGCACGAAAGCGUGGGGA
Molecule: ribosomal RNA, 416 nt
Filed under: uncultured bacterium
Lineage: Bacteria
Description: bacterial SSU rRNA
Rfam family: Bacterial small subunit ribosomal RNA
Source: RNAcentral